UUAGGUUGUUUUCGGAAGAACAAGACACUCAUUUGCGCAUGCUUAGCUGUUAUUAAAUAUAUAUGAAUAUUUAGUAUGAGUAUUUGAAACAUAUCCAUUUGAAAGAAACGUUUAGACUUUGAUUUCUAGCUGCUGUUUUUCAUCUCUUGGACGGAGAAAAAUGAAGACAAUGUGCAUUUAUUAUUCUUUGAACGUACUUUAAACCUACAUUUUGCUUACGUUAAUUCAUAUUAAGCUUUCCUUUACAAUUUUGUAGCGUGCAUUUCCUGGAUGUUUGGAGCUCAAACACGAACUGGCCAAUAGGAGAGCGCGCGUGUGCUGCCACGUGCGCGUGAUGAGAAUGUAAACACACUUGUUUGGCUCUGAGGCACGUGAACGCGAGCACUGAAGUACUCGACAUUUCAUACUUCCGUUUUAUUUUCUAAGUUACAUUUUAUACACUCUCGCAUCCAGGCCAGUAAAAAAGCUAACAAAGCUAUUAAGUUAUCAAUUAUGACCAAAACUUGUGCGGAGGAUUCUUGUUGUCCUGAGGACAUACACAUGUAGAGUGAAACAGCAGUACUGAAUACAGCCUUCAUCCACCUCAUGAAGGAUGAAAACCUUAAAGAUCAUAACCAUCAUACAAACUAUUGCAAGAUUCUCUUGGUCUGCCAAUUUGCACCAGUCCAAAACCAACCUCAGCCCCAGCAACCAAAGGUGAUGCUGAAUCUGUGAAUCCAAAUGGAUUCUUCCCGUCUCCAGAGCUACUGAGGUGUUUCGUUCUGGGGUUCUUUCUUUUGAUUGCAGUCAUCACAAAUAUCCUCUUGUGUGAUCAUGAUAAAAGAAGAAAGCUGUUAGAGACAUGAACCUGCAGACCUCAGGUGAAGGAAAAUAACUAUGCUUUCCAUCUUGUCAUGGUCAAAAACAACAGCAGUGAUGCUGAGGUUCCUGUAUCUCCUCAGCAUAUCUGAGCGCAGAGGAGCGUUGAGAGUGCAUCGUAUGACACAGACUAUGAGCAACAUGACAUCAGUCCGGAAACAGCUUUUCCUUUAUCCACUUCUCAUAAUUAGUCAUCGUUAAGUGUUAUGGACAACAUUGAGAAAGCAGGAGAGACCUGGGAUAGUUGUAACGUGGGGUCAGCUGUUAUUAUGUUUAACCACACAGAAAUUAGGUACAGAGAUGAAAUUGCUAGCAGCGUUGGGGGAAAUUAUUUUCAAAAAUUGUUUAAUGGUAACACUUUAUAGUAACUUUCAUUUAAUCUAUAACUUUCAGUUAAUAUAUAUUGACAUAGGUAGAAAUAUGAGAUAAUGUUCUUAUUAAUGUUUACUAAUGAACGUACUUAACAUUACCUAAUGAUUAACAUAUGAUUAUUUAAUGUAAAUUGAAAUGCUCUCAAAUGUCAGUAAACGUUCAAUUCAUAUGAUCUUCA
Molecule: long non-coding RNA, 1408 nt
Organism: Carassius gibelio (silver crucian carp)
Lineage: Eukaryota; Metazoa; Chordata; Actinopteri; Cypriniformes; Cyprinidae
Exons: 5
Source: RefSeq, a predicted model, not a curated record